This 461-nucleotide ribosomal RNA is filed under the name uncultured bacterium. RNAcentral describes it as "SSU rRNA". It matches the Rfam family "Bacterial small subunit ribosomal RNA", at positions 26 to 518 of the family's 1533-position model. The record is from RNAcentral.
AGAAUCAACGCUGGCGGCGUGCCUAACACAUGCAAGUCGAACGGGAAAGUGGAGCAAUCCAUGAGUAUAGUGGCGCACGGGUGAGUAACACGUGACUAACCUACCCUCGAGUGGGGAAUAACUCCGGGAAACCGGGGCUAACACCGCAUAAUAUCGAGAGAUCAAAUGCGAAAGCAGCUUGAGGAGGGGGUCGCGGUUGAUUAGUUAGUUGGCAGGGUAAUGGCCUACCAAGACGAUGAUCAAUAGCCGGCCUGAGAGGGCGCACGGCCACACUGGAACUGAAACACGGUCCAGACUCCUACGGGAGGCAGCAGUGGGGAAUUUUGCGCAAUGGGGGAAACCCUGACGCAGCAACGCCGCGUGGAGGAUGAAGUCCCUUGGGAUGGUAAACUCCUUUCGAUCGGGAAGAUAAUGACGGUACCGGAAGAAGAAGCCCCGGCUAACUCUGUGCCAGCAGCCGC